ACUCAACAAGAAUUAAUUAAAAAGGGUGAGUUUAAGUUGUAAAAGCGUGCCGCCUUGAGCGGAUUUUUGAGCAAUUUGUUAGCCCUAAACCUGUUUUUUACAGAGUUU
Molecule: small RNA, 108 nt
Filed under: Aquimarina algicola
Lineage: Bacteria; Pseudomonadati; Bacteroidota; Flavobacteriia; Flavobacteriales; Flavobacteriaceae
Description: 6S-Flavo RNA
Rfam family: 6S-Flavo RNA
Source: Rfam by way of RNAcentral